Molecule: ribosomal RNA, 1457 nt
Filed under: Salmonella enterica
Lineage: Bacteria; Pseudomonadati; Pseudomonadota; Gammaproteobacteria; Enterobacterales; Enterobacteriaceae
Description: partial 23S ribosomal RNA
Rfam family: Bacterial large subunit ribosomal RNA
Source: RNAcentral
ACGGUUGUCCCGGUUUAAGCGUGUAGGUGUGUGUUCCAGGUAAAUCCGGUUCACUUUAACACUGAGGCGUGAUGACGAGGCACUACGGUGCUGAAGCAACAAAUGCCCUGCUUCCAGGAAAAGCCUCUAAGCAUCAGGUAACAUCAAAUCGUACCCCAAACCGACACAGGUGGUCAGGUAGAGAAUACCAAGGCGCUUGAGAGAACUCGGGUGAAGGAACUAGGCAAAAUGGUGCCGUAACUUCGGGAGAAGGCACGCUGACACGUAGGUGAAGUGAUUUACUCAUGGAGCUGAAGUCAGUCGAAGAUACCAGCUGGCUGCAACUGUUUAUUAAAAACACAGCACUGUGCAAACACGAAAGUGGACGUAUACGGUGUGACGCCUGCCCGGUGCCGGAAGGUUAAUUGAUGGGGUCAGCGCAAGCGAAGCUCCUGAUCGAAGCCCCGGUAAACGGCGGCCGUAACUAUAACGGUCCUAAGGUAGCGAAAUUCCUUGUCGGGUAAGUUCCGACCUGCACGAAUGGCGUAAUGAUGGCCAGGCUGUCUCCACCCGAGACUCAGUGAAAUUGAACUCGCUGUGAAGAUGCAGUGUACCCGCGGCAAGACGGAAAGACCCCGUGAACCUUUACUAUAGCUUGACACUGAACAUUGAGCCUUGAUGUGUAGGAUAGGUGGGAGGCUUUGAAGUGUGGACGCCAGUCUGCAUGGAGCCGGCCUUGAAAUACCACCCUUUAAUGUUUGAUGUUCUAACGUGGACCCGUGAUCCGGGUUGCGGACAGUGUCUGGUGGGUAGUUUGACUGGGGCGGUCUCCUCCUAAAGAGUAACGGAGGAGCACGAAGGUUGGCUAAUCCUGGUCGGACAUCAGGAGGUUAGUGCAAUGGCAUAAGCCAGCUUGACUGCGAGCGUGACGGCGCGAGCAGGUGCGAAAGCAGGUCAUAGUGAUCCGGUGGUUCUGAAUGGAAGGGCCAUCGCUCAACGGAUAAAAGGUACUCCGGGGAUAACAGGCUGAUACCGCCCAAGAGUUCAUAUCGACGGCGGUGUUUGGCACCUCGAUGUCGGCUCAUCACAUCCUGGGGCUGAAGUAGGUCCCAAGGGUAUGGCUGUUCGCCAUUUAAAGUGGUACGCGAGCUGGGUUUAGAACGUCGUGAGACAGUUCGGUCCCUAUCUGCCGUGGGCGCUGGAGAACUGAGGGGGGCUGCUCCUAGUACGAGAGGACCGGAGUGGACGCAUCACUGGUGUUCGGGUUGUCAUGCCAAUGGCACUGCCCGGUAGCUAAAUGCGGAAGAGAUAAGUGCUGAAAGCAUCUAAGCACGAAACUUGCCCCGAGAUGAGUUCUCCCUGAGACUUUAGGUCUCCUGAAGGAACGUUGAAGACGACGACGUUGAUAGGCCGGGUGUGUAAGCGCAGCGAUGCGUUGAGCUAACCGGUACUAAUGAACCGUGAGGCUUAACCUUACA